UUACAGCGGUGGUCAUUUCCUGCAUGACGCUUCGCUAGGAGACGUCGCGGUUCCUUCAGUCAUCAGAACCGUUUCUGGUUCCUAACGGCCGAGUUUGAACAGGCUGAAAGAGGUGAAAAUGAGCAGCUGUGAUCUGAGCGUGAGUACACAAACUUAUCACCAUCACACACUAACACACAACUAAACCCCAGUAACAGCGCAGAGACAACAAGAUGUUCACUUCCUGUAGCUGUGUUCAGUAUCAUGAUGUGUGUGUGUGUGUGUGUGUGUGUGUGUGUGUGUGUGUGUGUGUGUGUGUGUGUGUGUGUGUGUGUGUGAGAAACUCAAUAUAACUUACAUCAGAACUAAUCACCUGGAACCAGCAACCAACUCAGAGUUAAUUAACAUCUUUAAUGAAGUUAAUGAAGCACAUUAACAUUAAUGUCCUGAUUGUGUGUGUGUGUGUGUGUGUGUGUGUGUGUGUGUGUGUGUGUGUGUGUGUGUGUGUGAGAGUGUGUGUGAGUGUGUGUGAGAUUGAAUAACAGACUCAUGUUUACAUGCAGAGACGAGAUUGUUUAGAGACUGAAUGACGAUGAUGAUGAUGAUGAUGAUGAUGAAAGAGGAAUGCUGAACUGAAGGAAACAAAAUCUUUUGAAUAAGAAGGAAACUAACCAGCAGUUGCGUCGCCAUAAGAUUUGAAACCUGGCGCUGAAGCGGGAGUCAAAAACUCUACAGGAAUUAAAGGAACAAGAAAACAGCAGAAAAUAAAAAUAAAAUCAAAUUAAAACUGAAAAGCUCUAGAGUUUGUAAAGCAAGAUGAUUAAAAACAAAAUAAAUCAGCACAAACAUUCCUCUGUGUGUGUGUGUGUGUGUGUGUGUGUGUGUGUGUGUGUGUGUGUGUGUGUGUGUGUGUGUGUAAGCGAGUGUGAGUGUAUGAUGAGAAAACACAGAUGAUCUCACCGUGACAGUCACCAAGAUGCCCCGUGUCCCCGAACUCCACAUCCUGCUCAAACCCACUGCUGAGGGAGAGAGAGACCUUCAGCACCACACCUGCCUCCGAGCCAAUAAACACCACCGUGUGGUUCCUGUAGGGACCUGCUGCAUUAUCAACUGCUACAGCAGUCAACCGUAACGGCAAACGGGGUUGAAGCCAUUUGUGCCACAGAUAAAGAUGAGAUCAUCAUUUCUGGGAACCAAAACUUUAAUAAAGUUAUGGCACUCGUCCUGAGAGAGAGACAGAUGGAGUGUGUCCUGGAUCCUGGUCAUCAGCUGAAAGUCCAGUCGAUGUUGGGAUUCAUUACCGGAUGGCCGACCUCGGAAAACUGGAUACUGUCGUGAAUCUGGGGUGUGAAGAAGAGAUGAAGAAGAGAUGAAGAAGAGAUG
This is a long non-coding RNA of Tachysurus fulvidraco (yellow catfish), 1362 nucleotides long. RefSeq lists it as uncharacterized. The transcript has 5 exons. NCBI's taxonomy places the organism in Eukaryota, Metazoa, Chordata, Actinopteri, Siluriformes, Bagridae. The record is from RefSeq and is a predicted model, not a curated record.